Colossoma macropomum (tambaqui) is the source of this 3585-nucleotide RNA transcript. It is a transcript of the gene named NXPE family member 3-like, with no coding region annotated. Lineage: Eukaryota; Metazoa; Chordata; Actinopteri; Characiformes; Serrasalmidae. The transcript is spliced from 13 exons. The record is from RefSeq and is a predicted model, not a curated record.
AUGGCAACGAGGAAAUGAGUGAAGUGAAAGAGAAAGUGCGAUUCACCAGGCUUCAAUGGUCUUGGAAACCCAAAAACAAACCAACCUAACGGUUCAGCUCGAGAAGGACUUGCGAAGAAGCGAACUGGAAGAUUCUUCUUCUUUUGGGGCUGUUACGGCACUAUUGGAAGUAUCCAGUUACAGUAGUCCAGUGGAACAUCUGACUGCAGUUGAAACUUUUGGCAACUUGUCUUUGGAGUUUAUAGUACGACAGUUACAUCGCAACGCCCUGUUGUUUGCUACAAACCGGAAAUAACGCAGAUAAACCGGAAAAUGCGGAAACAGCUGAUCAGGCCUGUCAUUAUCUUAACUGUCAGCGUAGCCAUCAUUUGGUUGUUUUGGGAACGACUGUCUGGUGAUUUCAUAAGCAACAUAUCACAAAUAGUACCAGAGAGAAGGCCAGUCCCAUCGAUGGACAAAAAGCUUGCAAACUUGUCCAAUUGUCCAACUGCCUCCCAGUCUGACUCUGCUCACAUCUUUUCAACUGACCCCACCUUCAUCUCGCCUGCAGAAUUCCAAUCCAUAGAAAAGGCGCUGAAGUGGCCAGCUCCUCCUACCUCUGUGAUUGCAGCCAAUCAGACCACUAGUCCUCAUACAAGCUCAUACGUUUUGCAGAACCCACACAAAAACUACAGUGUUGGGGACAAUAUCACAGUGAUCAUAACAGCAAGAGAUGGUUUAAACAACUCAAAAGCAUACGGCGGAGAUUUCUUCCAAGCAAAGCUGUUUAAUGCAGAACUAAAAGCAAGUGUAUAUGGGGAGGUGGUUGACCACCACAACGGCACUUAUACUGCUACCUUCAAGCUGUCCUGGGAAGGACAAGCCAAAGUCUCAAUAAGGAUGAUACACUCCAGUGAGGCUGUACAGGUGCUACUUAGGCACAGAGAGCGAGAUCCAGACAAGGUGUUCUUCAAGGGCGUGUUCAGAAGGUUCAACAUUGAGGAAAAAGUGGUGUGUAAUGCCCAGAGGAGUGAGAGGUUGCUAAAGAACUCUCAAUGCUGCUGUGAAUACAAAAAUCCAAUUACUGGAGAAUCAUGGAUUUGUCGUAAACCCAGCCGUCUGCCAUGCUCAGCCUGGGUGGACCAUAUCAUAGGAGGCUACCAAGCACAGCUGUCCAAACUGGAGUCCACACUGUUACACAGUGACUACACCAAUAAAUAUCUACCUGGAGAUAUCACAGUGAAUGUGUCUCAUCAUGACCUGAACUCAAGUAGGAGCGUGAAGUGUGUUCCAGGACUAGACGCACCCUCACCAGCUGGGUUCUACCUGAAUGAUAAAUGGACGUCGCUGAUGUGCCAUGCCCAGUCUUUCCCUACAGCCAAUCAGAUUGCAAUAUGCUUGAAAGACAAGCAGGUUCUGAUGAUGGGAGAUUCCACGUUGAGACAGUGGUACGAGUAUCUGCUGAAAACUGUCCCAACACUCAAGCAACUAAACCUGUACACCUCGGCCAAGUCUGGACCGUUUGAGGCAGUGGACACAGGCAACAACAUUCGACUAAUAUGGAGAGCUCAUGGCCUUCCAAUACGGACUUCUCUGACCCCCCGUGCUGACUUACACUACAUUGCCUCCGAGGUGGCCGCUCUAGCUGGAGGUCAACAUUCUGUUGUGGUCUUCACCAUCUGGGCGCACUUCACUACCUUUCCGCUGGCCACGUACCUAAAAAGGCUGGCUGGAAUCCGCAGAGCGAUCCGAGCCCUCCUCCAGAGGGCACCGCAGACCCUUGUGCUGGUCAAGUCAGCCAACACAGGCUACAAGGACAUUUAUGGCAGCGACUGGUUGUCAUGGCAGCUGGACUGUGCAUUGAGGAUGAUGUUUAGGGAGCUGCCGGUUGUGAUUAUUGAUGUUUGGCAAAUGACAUCAUGUCACUACUCACCAGAUGACAUUCACCCAUCUUAUAAAGUGGUACAGAAUGAAGUAGAUCUAUUCCUCUCAUAUGUUUGUCCAAGAUGACAGACGUACAGAUAUGAAGAGCAUUGCUGCUAGAACCACAGGGGUCCACAUCAAAGAAUUGAACUGCAGUCCAGCAAAAAUGGGUCUCAGUCAGCAUCUAAGAGCAUCCUGCUUCAGUUCACUUGAUAGGAACAGAUUUUUAUGAUGAUCCAAACCAAACAAAGUUACAACAGUGGGUCCACUUGUGUACCUUAACACUCAAGCAACUAAACCUGUACACCUCGGCCAAGUCUGGACCGUUUGAGGCAGUGGACACAGGCAACAACAUUCGACUAAUAUGGAGAGCUCAUGGCCUUCCAAUACGGACUUCUCUGACCCCCCGUGCUGACUUACACUACAUUGCCUCCGAGGUGGCCGCUCUAGCUGGAGGUCAACAUUCUGUUGUGGUCUUCACCAUCUGGGCGCACUUCACUACCUUUCCGCUGGCCACGUACCUAAAAAGGCUGGCUGGAAUCCGCAGAGCGAUCCGAGCCCUCCUCCAGAGGGCACCGCAGACCCUUGUGCUGGUCAAGUCAGCCAACACAGGCUACAAGGACAUUUAUGGCAGCGACUGGUUGUCAUGGCAGCUGGACUGUGCAUUGAGGAUGAUGUUUAGGGAGCUGCCGGUUGUGAUUAUUGAUGUUUGGCAAAUGACAUCAUGUCACUACUCACCAGAUGACAUUCACCCAUCUUAUAAAGUGGUACAGAAUGAAGUAGAUCUAUUCCUCUCAUAUGUUUGUCCAAGAUGACAGACGUACAGAUAUGAAGAGCAUUGCUGCUAGAACCACAGGGGUCCACAUCAAAGAAUUGAACUGCAGUCCAGCAAAAAUGGGUCUCAGUCAGCAUCUAAGAGCAUCCUGCUUCAGUUCACUUGAUAGGAACAGAUUUUUAUGAUGAUCCAAACCAAACAAAGUUACAACAGUGGGUCCACUUGUGUACCUUAAGUAUGAAUGUUAAGUGUGUUCCAGGACUAGACACGCCCUCACCAGCUGGAUUCUAUCUUCAUGAUAAAUGGACGUCACUGAUGUGCCAUGCCCAGUCCUUUGACACAGCCAAUCAGACUGCAACAUGCUUGAAAGAGAAGCAGGUUCUGAUGAUGGGAGAUUCCACAUUGAGACAGUGGUAUGAGUACCUGCUGAAAACAGUCCCAAGACUUACACUACAUCACCUCAGAGCUGGAUGCUCUAGCUGGAGGUCAACAUUCUGUUGUGAUGUUCACCAUCUGGGCGCACUUCACUACCUUUCCGCUGGCUACGUACCUAAAAAGCCUGGCUGGAAUCCGCAGAGCUGUCCUGGCCCUCCUUCAGAGGGCACCGCAGACCCUUGUGCUGAUCAAAUCAGCUAACACAGGCUACAAGGACAUUUACAGCAGCGACUGGUUGUCAUGGCAGCUGGACUGUGCAUUGAGGGUGAUGUUUAGGGAGCUGCCUGUCGUGAUUAUUGACGUUUGGCAAAUGACGUCAUGCCACUACUCACCAGACAGCAUUCACCCAUCUCAUGAAGUGAUAAAGAAUGAAGUAGAUCUAUUCCUCUCAUUUAUUUGUCCAAGUUGACAGACUUACAGAUAAGAAGACAGUAAAAUCUGUAUCGUUACAAAGUAUUUGCCUCCUUCCUGAU